CCUACGGGAGGCAGCAGUGAGGAAUAUUGGUCAAUGGACGAGAGUCUGAACCAGCCAAGUAGCGUGAAGGAUGACUGCCCUAUGGGUUGUAAACUUCUUUUAUAUGGGAAUAAAACGUUCCACGUGUGGGAUUUUGUAUGUACCAUAUGAAUAAGGAUCGGCUCAGUACGUGCCAGCAGCCGCGGUAAUCUGGAGGUUCCGAGCGUUUUCCGGAUUGAUUGGGUUUAAAGGGAGCGUAGGUGGAUUGUUAAGUCAGAUGUGAAAGUUUGCGGCUCAACCGUAAAAUUGCAGUUGAAACUGGCAAUCUUGAGUACAGUAGAGGUGGGCGGAAUUCGUGGUGUAGCGGUGAAAUGCUUAGAGAUAACGAAGAACUCCGAUUGCGAAGGCAGUUCACUGGACUGCAACUGACACUGAGGCGCGAAAGUGUGGGUAUCAAACAGGAUUAGAUACCCCAGUAGUC
This 460-nucleotide ribosomal RNA is filed under the name uncultured bacterium. RNAcentral's name for it is "partial 16S ribosomal RNA". It matches the Rfam family "Bacterial small subunit ribosomal RNA", at positions 338 to 795 of the family's 1533-position model. The record is from RNAcentral.